This 465-nucleotide ribosomal RNA is filed under the name uncultured bacterium. RNAcentral's name for it is "partial 16S ribosomal RNA". It matches the Rfam family "Bacterial small subunit ribosomal RNA", at positions 28 to 507 of the family's 1533-position model. The record is from RNAcentral.
GACGAACGCUGGCGGCGUGCUUAACACAUGCAAGUCGAACGGAAAGGCCCCUUCGGGGGUACUCGAGUGGCGAACGGGUGAGUAACACGCGAGUAACCUGCCCUUGACUUCGGGAUAACUUCAGGAAACUGGGGCUAAUACCGGAUAGGAAUCCUUGCUGCAUGGUGGGGGUUGGAAAGCUUCGGCGGUUUUGGAUGGACUCGCGGCUUAUCAGCUUGUUGGUGGGGUAGUGGCUUACCAAGGCUUUGACGGGUAGCCGGCCUGAGAGGGCGACCGGCCACAUUGGGACUGAGAUACGGCCCAGACUCCUACGGGAGGCAGCAGUGGGGAAUAUUGCACAAUGGGCGGAAGCCUGAUGCAGCGACGCCGCGUGCGGGAUGACGGCCUUCGGGUUGUAAACCGCUUUCAGCAGGGGCGAAGCUUGUGGUGACGGUACCUGCAGAAGAAGCACCGGCUAACUACGUG